RNAcentral lists this ribosomal RNA (306 nucleotides) under uncultured Nectriaceae. RNAcentral describes it as "partial large subunit ribosomal RNA". It matches the Rfam family "Eukaryotic large subunit ribosomal RNA", at positions 40 to 350 of the family's 3401-position model. Lineage: Eukaryota; Fungi; Ascomycota; Sordariomycetes; Hypocreales; Nectriaceae. The record is from RNAcentral.
AUAUCAAUAAGCGGAGGAAAAGAAACCAACAGGGAUUGCCCUAGUAACGGCGAGUGAAGCGGCAACAGCUCAAAUUUGAAAUCUGGCCCUAGGCCCGAGUUGUAAUUUGUAGAGGAUGCUUUUGGUGCGGUACUUUCCGAGUUCCCUGGAACGGGACGCCUUAGAGGGUGAGAGCCCCGUACGGUUGGAUACCUAGCCUCUGUAAAGCUCCUUCGACGAGUCGAGUAGUUUGGGAUUGCAACUCAAAAUGGGUGGUAGAUCUCAUCUAAAGCUAAAUAUAUCGGGGAGACCGAUAGCGCACAAGUA